This 2777-nucleotide long non-coding RNA is filed under the name Homo sapiens (human). RNAcentral's name for it is "non-protein coding NR2F1-AS1:45". The record is from RNAcentral. Lineage: Eukaryota; Metazoa; Chordata; Mammalia; Primates; Hominidae.
AGAAGGAAAGCUGGGACGGGCCGGGACCACAGGAGCCCCAGCCCCACACAGCAACCACCCGGGCGAGAAAGAAAGAAAGAGCCAGGGAGGCGGGCGAAGCGCGGGGAGAGAAGCAGAGAAGAAAUAUUCACCUUCCCGCCUCAUGCCCACUUUGAGGCACUUCUUGAGGCGGCAGUAUUGGCACUGGUUGCGGUGGUGCUGGUCGAUGGGACAGUUCCUGUUGGCACGGCAUGUGUAAGUUAAGUUCCUGCGGACGCUCCUCUUGAAGAAACUUUUGCAGCCCUCGCAGCAGGUAGAUGAAACUCAAGAGAAAAGGUGUGGAUAAAUGAAACUAGCCCAUGAUGAACCUGUUUUCUCCGUGACCACAAUAUUAACCAGGAUGAAUGGCGGUGGCAGUGGGCCUGCAUCACAGGUUGCAGCAGAUGUUCUCAAUAUUUCUAUUAAAAUUUCCUUAUUUCCAUAUGCAAGAGGAGCCCCAGAGCUGCAUCCUUAUGGUAGCUACCAUGCCGUGAUGUAAGCUGCCAUUCACUGGGGAGCUUUGGCAAUAGAAUUGGCUAGAUCAGGAAGCCUAUGUCAACUAUGGAACAACAACUUGCAGCUCAUCUCUAUUGAUGAUGGAAUCUCGCUAUGUCACCAGGCUGGAGUGCAGUGGCGCAACCUCGGCUCAGCGCAACAUCCGCCUCCCGGGUUCAAGUGAUUCUCCUACCUCAGCCUCCUGAGUAGCUGGGAUUACAGGAAUCUAAUGACCAUUGAACUGUGGCCAUGACUUCAAUUACAAGUAUUUUCUUCACUAAUGUCAGACUGUGGGCCUUUGUAUAUACACUUUUAACAAACUUUUUGGAAGUGCAAUACAUAUCGCAACAACUUCUCAAUGCUGAAUCAUAGUAUUGGAAGACAUUUUAAGCAACAAUUAAACUCAACUUAUUUACUACCAAUAAUGUACAUAAGUCAGCUGAAGUGAGGAUAACAUGAAUAGCACAAAUACAUUAUGAUUGCUGCCUGGCCAACAGUAAUUAUAAGAAACUGUCAGUUUUGAGAUGUGUCUUGAUUUCAGAGAUGUUAAAAAAGUUUGUAAGUUACCAUUGAUAAAAUAUGAGUUUGCUUCCACAAAUAUUCUUUCUUCUGUCCUUCUGGAACUCAAGAGUAAACAUAUAUUAGAUUUUCUCACCAUUUCAUGCAUGCUGGUUCCUAGGCUACUCUCUGAGUCAUUUUUUUUUUCUUAUCUGCCCUCCAGUUCACUAGUUCUGUCAUUUUCUGGGUCUGAUCUGCUGCAAAUGCAAUACAUUGAGUUUUAAAUUUCAGUCAUUGUGUUUUCAUUUCUAGAAAUUUCAUUUGACUCUUUCUCAAAUUACUUUUCCAUUUUUUUUGUAGUUUCCUAUCCCUGGAGAUAUUUUCAAUCAUGCCAUUUAAUUUUUUAAAUACGCAAGUGUAGUUUUAUAAUUUGUGUCUGAUAAUUCUAAUAUCUGAAGUCUUAGUAGGUCUGUUUCAGUUGUCCUGUAAUUAUGCAUGUUUUUGCCCAUGUUGCUUUGUUUCCUUGUAUGCUUGGUUAUCUUUCUUACUGCCCUUGCAAAAUUAUUUGGAGAGUCCUGGAGGCUUAAAUGAAGAUAACUUUUAGGAAUAAUUUGCAUUUGCUUUUGCCGAGGAUCUUGGGAUCAUUUCAACCAAAAUCUUAGCUUGAAAUUCCGCAAUCAAUCAAGGUGAUGAGAACCUGGUCAGUAAAUCCUAAUGAGGGCCAGGCUGUGGCCAAAGAUUUUUAGACAGAUGUUUCCCUCCUUUGCCAUUUCUCUUUUCUUUCCUCCUCUGCUCCUCUUAGUGUCCAGACAACCUUCAUGGAAGUCCUUGGGGUGGGUGGGAAAUGAGGACGGCAGGUUUCAUUCUAGGUAUAGCCCUUUGAGGUCUAACUUAAUGCAGAGAGAGUUUUCUGGUCUAUGUGCCACCUUACAUGGGAUCUUGAGCCUUGAUUUCUAAACCCCUUGCCUUUGAUGUUUCAGAAUUGAAGCUUAAAUUUGCCAACAGGCAAAUGUCCUCAAGGCAAAUUGGCUUAGGUGUUCGAUAUUCUUCUUACCAGAAAGGUAAACUUGGGUUUUUUACUUCACCCAGGAUUUGGCAUGACAGUUCCCCAUUAUCUUGUCAGCUUAGUGCUUUAAGUGAUUGCAUUUAAAAAAAUUCUGCAUUUUCAGUUUUUAGCAGGAGGAAUGGCCUCAACUAGUGGUUUUCAACUGGGGAUGAUUUUUUUCCCCUAGGGGACAUUUGAUAAUGUUUGGAGAUGUUUUAGUUGUUAGAACUGGGGUUGGGGGAACUACUGUCAUCUGGUGGGGAGAGACCGGCAAUGCUGUUGAUCUUACUAUAAUGCACAGGCCACCCCCAACAACAAACAAAUUACAUAGCCCCAAAUAUCAAUAAUGCCAAGGUCCAAAUAACCUAACCUUCCAUUACUGAAAAUAGAAGUUCAAGAAGAUAGUUUAUAAUUUAAAAAUUUUUAGGUCUUAAUAAGUUGUCAUACUUUCACAGGUUUUAUUUCAUACUAAGUAAUUUAUUUCAAAUUUUACAUUCCAAUUACAGAAAAUUUUCUAAGCCAGUUUUUGUUCUUCAUGAGUAUUACUAUCAAGGUCACAUUUUUCAUCUAGUAUGUUUUACCCUGGUACUUGUUGGCAGGGUCAGGACUAAGGUGAGAUGCGCAAGGCAUUUGCCUCACACAAAAUGCACAAUGAAUAAAAUGUCAAAACUUUAAAUAAAGACAGAAUCACUAAAAGUACUUUGCCAUAUUGGAACCUGAG